RNAcentral lists this ribosomal RNA (433 nucleotides) under uncultured bacterium. RNAcentral describes it as "partial 16S ribosomal RNA". It matches the Rfam family "Bacterial small subunit ribosomal RNA", at positions 29 to 507 of the family's 1533-position model. The record is from RNAcentral.
AGCGAACGCUGGCGGCAGGCCUAACACAUGCAAGUCGAACGAACUCUUCGGAGUUAGUGGCGGACGGGUGAGUAACACGUGGGAACGUGCCUUUUGGUUCGGAAUAACUCAGGGAAACUUGUGCUAAUACCGAAUGUGCCCUUCGGGGGAAAGAUUUAUCGCCAUUAGAGCGGCCCGCGUCUGAUUAGCUAGUUGGUGAGGUAACGGCUCACCAAGGCGACGAUCAGUAGCUGGUCUGAGAGGAAGACCAGCCACACUGGGACUGAGACACGGCCCAGAAUCCUACGGGAGGCAGCAGUGGGGAAUCUUGCGCAAUGGGCGAAAGCCUGACGCAGCCAUGCCGCGUGAAUGAUGAAGGUCUUAGGAUUGUAAAAUUCUUUCAACGGGGACGAUAAUGACGGUACCCGGAGAAGAAGCCCCGGCUAACUUCGUG